Molecule: long non-coding RNA, 303 nt
Filed under: Homo sapiens (human)
Lineage: Eukaryota; Metazoa; Chordata; Mammalia; Primates; Hominidae
Description: HSALNT0082580
Source: RNAcentral
ACCCCUUUAAGAGCUGUAACACUCACCGCCAAGGUCUGCAGCUUCACUCCUGAAGCCAGUGAGACCAUGAAUCCCCCAGAAUGAAGAAACUUUGAAGAUGUCCAAACACUGGGAGGCACAAACUUAGGACGCACCAUCUGUGCUGAAGUUAGCACUGUUUUCCUAGAACCUACAACACAAGGGAAGACAAGUUGAGAUAGAAGGAGGAGCACAAGAAGGAUGAGAAUGAGGAGUAAGAGAAGGAAGAAGAGGAGGAAUCUAUCAAUUUUUACAAACAAAAUUUUGAUACUGCCAUUGAAUUUA